Molecule: ribosomal RNA, 253 nt
Filed under: uncultured bacterium
Lineage: Bacteria
Description: partial 16S ribosomal RNA
Rfam family: Bacterial small subunit ribosomal RNA
Source: RNAcentral
UACGAACUGUGCGAACGUUAUUCGGAGUCACUGGGCUUAAAGGGUGCGUAGGCGGCUGCCUAAGUCAGGUGUGAAAUCUCUCGGCUCAACCGGGAAACUGCGCUUGAUACUGGGCGGCUCGAGUGAGGUAGGGGUGUGUGGAACUUCCGGUGGAGCGGUGAAAUGUGUAGAUAUCGGAAGGAACACCAAUGGCGAAGGCAGCUCGCUGGGACGGUACUGACGCUGAGACGCGAAAGCGUGGGGAGCAAACAGG